CCUACGGGGGGCAGCAGUGAGGAAUAUUGGUCAAUGGACGAGAGUCUGAACCAGCCAAGUAGCGUGAAGGAUGACUGCCCUAUGGGUUGUAAACUUCUUUUAUAUGGGAAUAAAAUGUUCCACGUGUGGGAUUUUGUAUGUACCAUAUGAAUAAGGAUCGGCUAACUCCGGGCCAGCAGCCGCGGUAAUACGGAGGAUCCGAGCGUUAUCCGGAUUUAUUGGGUUUAAAGGGAGCGUAGGUGGAUUGUUAAGUCAGUUGUGAAAGUUUGCGGCUCAACCGUAAAAUUGCAGUUGAAACUGGCAGUCUUGAGUACAGUAGAGGUGGGCGGAAUUCGUGGUGUAGCGGUGAAAUGCUUAGAUAUCACGAAGAACUCCGAUUGCGAAGGCAGUUCACUGGACUGCAACUGACACUGAGGCUCGAAAGUGUGGGUAUCAAACAGGAUUAGAUACCCGUGUAGUC
RNAcentral lists this ribosomal RNA (460 nucleotides) under uncultured bacterium. Its description in RNAcentral is "partial 16S ribosomal RNA". It matches the Rfam family "Bacterial small subunit ribosomal RNA", at positions 338 to 795 of the family's 1533-position model. The record is from RNAcentral.